Molecule: transfer RNA, 81 nt
Filed under: Phaeomoniella chlamydospora
Lineage: Eukaryota; Fungi; Ascomycota; Eurotiomycetes; Phaeomoniellales; Phaeomoniellaceae
Rfam family: tRNA
About the family: Transfer RNA (tRNA) molecules are approximately 80 nucleotides in length. Their secondary structure includes four short double-helical elements and three loops (D, anti-codon, and T loops). Further hydrogen bonds mediate the characteristic L-shaped molecular structure. tRNAs have two regions of fundamental functional importance: the anti-codon, which is responsible for specific mRNA codon recognition, and the 3' end, to which the tRNAs corresponding amino acid is attached (by aminoacyl-tRNA synthetases). tRNAs cope with the degeneracy of the genetic code in two manners: having more than one tRNA (with a specific anti-codon) for a particular amino acid; and 'wobble' base-pairing, i.e. permitting non-standard base-pairing at the 3rd anti-codon position.
Source: Rfam by way of RNAcentral
GCUCGGCUAGCGCAAUGGUAGCGCGUCAGACUUCUAAGAAGGUUUAUCUGAAGGUUGCGGGUUCGAGUCCCGCGCUGAGUG